UUACCUUGUCAUAGAUGAAUAACGAUAGUUCAGUGGGUGAAAUGGAGAUACAGAGAAGUUCAAAACCCCAUCCACGCCUCCUUUCUGUGCAAAUCUCACAAUUCGAAACUCCCGCCAUAAAACGGGCGAAUCCAAAAGAAGCUCAGAGUUUACGCAAACUCCGAAGUGGUGCCUUAUUUGGCUCUGGCCUGUACAUUUGUCACGCCCCAAAAUUUACAUACAGACCAGCCCACUGGUUCGCUGGCCCAAGAACAUGAAUGGAGGUCGUGAAGAUGUCAGACACUAGUUUAGCUAGCCUACUGUUGGGUUUACUUCUACAAGAUUUACAAAGCAGGCAGUUUCUCUAUCGAAAAUGAGCCAGAGAGGUAAAUGCAGUGUUCCAGGCUGCACGGAGAAAGGGGAAGUUUGUCACAGUCUUCCCAAGGAUCCGAAGACUCGGCAGGCAUGGAUAAUGUUUGUCUAUCAGAAGAUCCCUGCAAAGUUCGACGCUCAGCUGUUCAUUUGCUCUGAACAUUUUACCGAAGACAGCUUUCAAAAUCUUGGACAGUUUAAAGCAGGAUUUGCCAAACUUCUUUUACUGAAACGAGGGGCUGUUCCGACCGUAAGGUCAUCACAAACGCAAGCUAGCACAUCACAAGAACAACAAGAACAACCAUGAACAGAAGUUGCAGCAUGCCAAACAGAUCCUCCUUGUGUGGCAUCUCGCGGGACGCAGCUUUCUUUUACUACAUUGAGACCUCACCAACGAAGCAAAGGUUGUACCUUGCUGCUAUGCAUUUCAAUGAGAAUGCUCAGCGCCCACAACGGAAGACAGCCAAGGGGAAACUAAUGUACAGGCUUGUGUUUCCAAAGGCCAAAAGGGGAGGUUACACAGUCAAAAAAGUGAAGACAGAGCCAACGAUUUGCUAUGUCUUUAACCUGAUAAGACUGGUGUUCAAAGAGAUCGUCCAUGACUCCCUUCGUUAUGUGGAUGCCGUCCAGCAGAUUCCUGUGCCCCAAGACUUGUGUGCUCAGCUUCCCAGACCUUCCAG
Molecule: long non-coding RNA, 1031 nt
Organism: Alosa sapidissima (American shad)
Lineage: Eukaryota; Metazoa; Chordata; Actinopteri; Clupeiformes; Clupeidae
Exons: 4
Source: RefSeq, a predicted model, not a curated record